UACAUAGGGUGCGAGCGUUAAUCGGAAUUACUGGGCGUAAAGCGUGCGCAGGCGGUUUUGUAAGCCAGAUGUGAAAUCCCCGGGCUUAACCUGGGAAUGGCAUUUGGGACUGCAAGGCUGGAGUGCGGCAGAGGAGACUGGAAUUCCUGGUGUAGCAGUGAAAUGCGUAGAUAUCAGGAGGAAUACCGAUGGCGAAGGCAGGUCUCUGGGCUGACACUGACGCUCAUGCACGAAAGCGUGGGGAGCAAACAGG
This 253-nucleotide ribosomal RNA is filed under the name uncultured bacterium. RNAcentral describes it as "partial 16S ribosomal RNA". It matches the Rfam family "Bacterial small subunit ribosomal RNA", at positions 524 to 776 of the family's 1533-position model. The record is from RNAcentral.